CUAAUACCGGAUAAGCCCUUACGGGGAAAGAUUUAUCGCCGAAAGAUCGGCCCGCGUCUGAUUAGCUAGUUGGUGAGGUAAUGGCUCACCAAGGCGACGAUCAGUAGCUGGUCUGAGAGGAUGAUCAGCCACAUUGGGACUGAGACACGGCCCAAACUCCUACGGGAGGCAGCAGUGGGGAAUAUUGGACAAUGGGGGCAACCCUGAUCCAGCCAUGCCGCGUGAGUGAUGAAGGCCCUAGGGUUGUAAAGCUCUUUUGUGCGGGAAGAUAAUGACGGUACCGCAAGAAUAAGCCCCGGCUAACUUCGUGCCAGCAGCCGCGGUAAUACGAAGGGGGCUAGCGUUGCUCGGAAUCACUGGGCGUAAAGGGUGCGUAGGCGGGUCUUUAAGUCAGGGGUGAAAUCCUGGAGCUCAACUCCAGAACUGCCUUUGAUACUGAGGAUCUUGAGUUCGGGAGAGGUGAGUGGAACU
This 471-nucleotide ribosomal RNA is filed under the name Bradyrhizobium sp. RNAcentral's name for it is "bacterial SSU rRNA". It matches the Rfam family "Bacterial small subunit ribosomal RNA", at positions 163 to 668 of the family's 1533-position model. Lineage: Bacteria; Pseudomonadati; Pseudomonadota; Alphaproteobacteria; Hyphomicrobiales; Nitrobacteraceae. The record is from RNAcentral.